This 927-nucleotide ribosomal RNA is filed under the name uncultured Bacillota bacterium. RNAcentral's name for it is "bacterial SSU rRNA". It matches the Rfam family "Bacterial small subunit ribosomal RNA", at positions 568 to 1501 of the family's 1533-position model. The record is from RNAcentral. Lineage: Bacteria; Bacillati; Bacillota.
AGCGUAGGCGGCAUGGUAAGCCAGAUGUGAAAGCCCGAAGCUUAACUUCGGGAUUGCAUUUGGAACUAUCAAGCUAGAGUACAGGAGAGGUAAGUGGAAUUCCUAGUGUAGCGGUGAAAUGCGUAGAUAUUAGGAAGAACACCAGUGGCGAAGGCGACUUACUGGACUGAAACUGACGCUGAGGCUCGAAAGCGUGGGGAGCGAACAGGAUUAGAUACCCUGGUAGUCCACGCCGUAAACGAUGAGUACUAAGUGUAGGAGAAAUUCUGUGCUGUAGUUAACGCAAUAAGUACUCCGCNUGAGUAGUACGUACGCAAGUAUGAAACUCAAAGGAAUAGACGGGGACCCGCACAAGUGGUGGAGCAUGUGGUUUAAUUCGAAGAUACGCGAAGAACCUUACCUGGCCUUGACAUUGAUAGAAUCUGCUAGAGAUAGCGGAGUGCUUUCGGGGAACUUGAAAACAGGUGCUGCACGGCUGUCGUCAGCUCGUGUCGUGAGAUGUUGGGUUAAGUCCCGCAACGAGCGCAACCCUCGUUCUUAGUUACUAACGGUUCGGCCGAGGACUCUAAGAAGACUGCCUUCGCAAGGAGGAGGAAGGUGAGGACGACGUCAAGUCAUCAUGGCCCUUACGCCUAGGGCUACACACGUACUACAAUGGCGCGCACAAAGGGGAGCAAGACCGCGAGGUGGAGCCAAUCCCAAAAAACGCGUCCCAGUCCGGAUUGCAGUCUGCAACUCGACUACAUGAAGUCGGAAUCGCUAGUAAUCGCGAAUCAGCAUGUCGCGGUGAAUGCGUUCCCGGGCCUUGUACACACCGCCCGUCACACCACGAAAGUCGGCAACACCCGAAGCCAGUGAGCUAACUACAAUAGAGGCAGCUGUCGAAGGUGGGGUUGGUGAUUGGGGUGAAGUCGUAACAAGGUAACC